UACGGAGGGUGCAAGCGUUAUCCGGAUUUAUUGGGUUUAAAGGGUGCGUAGGCGGUUUGAUAAGUCAGCGGUGAAAUAUUUCAGCUUAACUGGAAGGGUGCCGUUGAUACUGUCGAGCUUGAAUUUAGUUGCUGUGGGUGGAAUGUGUGGUGUAGCGGUGAAAUGCAUAGAUAUCACACAGAAUAUCGAUUGCGAAGGCAGCUCACAAAGCUAAUAUUGACGCUGAUGCACGAAAGUGUGGGGAUCAAAC
This 250-nucleotide ribosomal RNA is filed under the name uncultured Bacteroidota bacterium. Its description in RNAcentral is "uncultured Bacteroidetes bacterium partial 16S ribosomal RNA". It matches the Rfam family "Bacterial small subunit ribosomal RNA", at positions 524 to 773 of the family's 1533-position model. Lineage: Bacteria; Pseudomonadati; Bacteroidota. The record is from RNAcentral.